Molecule: long non-coding RNA, 19615 nt
Filed under: Triticum aestivum (bread wheat)
Lineage: Eukaryota; Viridiplantae; Streptophyta; Magnoliopsida; Poales; Poaceae
Description: long non-coding RNA (TAES_LNC019320)
Source: RNAcentral
GCCUGCUGUUUCCACCGCCUUGGGCCAAGGCCCACUGGGUGAGAACCCCCACCGUGCACUGUUGGCCCAGUCCGAUUCGGCCCGCCUCUGUUUUUAUUUCAGAUCUGCAAUUUGUCUAUUUUCCAGAGAAGAGCAUUUUUUGCAGGAAAGCCCUUGUGGAUCAUGCAUAUAAUAACUCACAAUUGGUGCAUCGGAUAAAAUAAAUUAUAUAUGAAAGUUGCUUAGAAUUUUGUGUAGUUUCAUAAUCUGUCAUUUUCAUCCAUGUUUAAAAUGCUUAAAAUGAAGUUUGUUUAAAUUUGCUUAAAUAACUUGCUAAAAUGAUUUAAUUCAUAACUAAAUAACCAUAGCUCCGAAUUAAAUAAUCUUUAUAUGUAGAUGGGGUAGAAUUUUGCCUAGUUUAACAUGGUGGCAUUACUUUGUAUGUUUAACAACUCUAAAAUAUGGUUUAGGGCAGAUCAGUACCAAACCUAAUAUAUGCAUAUGGGGAUUUACCGGAAUUGUUGUUUGUUGUUUCGGCCCCAUUUAAACUUGCCUAAAUGUUUAGUUUACUUAUGCUUCACCUCUUGCCAUGUUAAUCAACAUUUAAUUUUGUUGGGUACUUAAACAAGUUCGAACCAAAUAAGUCAUGUGGUGUUUCGUCAAUAUGCAACGGAGUUGCAUAUUGAGCUCCACAUAAUUUGUAGGAUUGCUUGUGCAUUUUGUCAUGCCAUGCCUCAUUAAACCGGACAUGCAUCAUACUUGAUUGUGCAUCAUGCCAUGAUUAUGUGGUGGUUGUUUACCAUGAUUGUUUGCUUCUUUCCAGUGUUGCUUCUUCGGGUUGGUUCCGAUAACGUCGUGUUGUGAGGAUCCGUUCGACUACAUCCGUUUAUCUUCUUCAUGGACUCGUUCUUCUUCCUUGCGGGAUUUCAGGCAAGAUGACCAUACCCUCGAAAUCACUUUUAUCUUUGCUUGCUAGUUGCUCGCUCUUUUGCUAUGCCUAUGCUGCGAUACCUACCACUUGCUUAUUAUGCCUCCCAUAUUGUUGAACCAAGCCUCUAACCCGCCUUGUCCUAGUAAACCAUUGUUUGGCUAUGUUACCGCUUUGCUCAGCCCCUCUUAUAGCAUUGUUAGUUGCAGGUGAAGAUUGAAGUUUGUUCCUUGUUGGAACAUGGGAAUGUUGUUCCUUGGUGGAACAUGUUUACUUGUUGGGAUAUCACAAUAUAUCUUAUUUAAUUAAUGCAUCUAUAUACUUAGUAAAGGGUGGAAGGCUCGGCCUUAUGCCUGGUGUUUUGUUCCACUCUUACGGCCCUAGUUUCCGUCAUAUCGGUGUUAUGUUCCCGGAUUUUGCGUUCCUUAUGCGGUUGGGAAAUAAUGGGAACCCCUUGAUAGUUCGCCUUGAAUAAAACUCCUCCAGCAAUGCCCAACCUUGGUUUUACCAUUUGCACUAACAACCUACCACCUUCCCUUGGGUUCUGCAGACUCAAGGGUCAUCUUUAUUCNNNNNNNNNNNNNNNNNNNNNNNNNNNNNNNNNNNNNNNNNNNNNNNNNNNNNNNNNNNNNNNNNNNNNNNNNNNNNNNNNNNNNNNNNNNNNNNNNNNNNNNNNNNNNNNNNNNNNNNNNNNNNNNNNNNNNNNNNNNNNNNNNNNNNNNNNNNNNNNNNNNNNNNNNNNNNNNNNNNNNNNNNNNNNNNNNNNNNNNNNNNNNNNNNNNNNNNNNNNNNNNNNNNNNNNNNNNNNNNNNNNNNNNNNNAGCGCCCCCUCAGGGAAACUCCAGGUUUGAUUUUAGCUGUAUGGAGAGCUCAUCUGAGUGUUCCCUGAGAACGAGAUAUGUGCAGCUCCUAUCGGGAUUUGUCGACACAUUCGGGCGGUGUUGCUGGUUUAGUUUUACCCUGUCGAAAUGUCUUGUAACCGGGAUUCCGAGUCUAAUCGGGUCUUCCCGCUAGAAGGUCUAUUCCUUCGUUGACCGUGAGAGCUUGUGAUGGGCUAAGUUGGGACACCCCUGCAGGGAUUUGAACUUUCGAAAGUUGUGCCCGCGGUUAUGGGUAGAUGGGAAUUUGUUAACGUCCGGUUGUAGAAAACCUGAAGUUGACCUUAAUUAAAAUGCAUCAACCGCGUGUGUUGCCGUGAUGGUCUCUUUCCGGCGGAGUCCAGGAAGUGAACACGGUGUUGGAGUUAUGCUUGACGUAGGUUGUUUUAGGAUCACUUCUUGAUCAUACUUUUAUCGACCGUGCUUUACCUUCUCUUCUCGCUCUCAUUUGCGUAUGUUAGCCACCAUAUAUGCUAGUCGCUUGCUGCAGCUCCACCUCUUACCUUUACCUUACCCAUAAGCUUAAAUAGUCUUGAUCGCGAGGGUGUGAGAUUGCUGAGUCCCCGUGACUCACAGAUACUUCCAAAACCAGUUUGCAGGUGCCGAUGUUACCGAGCAGGUGACGCAACCAAGCUCGAGGAGGAGCUCGAUGAAGAUCUUGUCCUUUAUGUUGUUUCGUUCUAGUUGAUCGGUAGUGGAGCCCAGUUGGGGUCGAUCGAGGACCUUUGUCGCACUUGGGGUUCUUCUUUUAUUUUGGUUCCGUAGUCGGACCUUGAUUGUAUUUGGAUGAUGUAAUGCUUUAUUCAUGUAUUGUGUGAAGUGGCGAUUGUAAGCCAACUAUGUAUCUAUUUCCCUUAUGUAUUACAUGAGUUGUGUGAAGAUUACCUCACUUGUGACAUUGCUUUCAAUGCGGUUAUGCCUCUAAGUCGUGCUUCGACACGUGGGAGAUAUAGCCGCAUCGAGGGCGUUACACGCCCGGCCCUAGACACGUUCAUGGCAGCAUCCCACUAUGCUUAUAACACCCUGAAGAUGCCUGGGCCACUGGGAGUCAUCACUAUCCCAUCAGAUGAGAAGGAUGCAAUUAUCUGCGUGGACAAGAUGUACCAGGAUGCAGUCGCAGCAAAGGCUGCGGCAGCAACGGUUCCCGCCAAGGAAAGUAAAGGAAAGAAAAGGGAUUGUAGGACCUCUGGCAAGGAGUCCGGGAAGCGUGCCCCCUCCGAGUGCACGGCACCCAUUGACAAUGUGUCGAAGUGUUCCAAUAGCAAGAGAUCCAAGGUUGUUGCACCCCAAGUGAAGAAGGUCCCGGCAGGGCUGGCUGGCGUUGAUGGUACUUUCACCAUCGGUGCCACCCUUGAUGACAAAUAGGAAAGCACGCUCGUUGCCUUCCUGCGGGCGAAUAUCGAUGUGUUUGUUGGGGAAUGCAGUAUUUCAAAAAAAUUACCUACGAUCACGCAAGAUCUAUCUAGGAGAUGCAUAGAAACGAGAGGGGAGAGUGUGCCUACGUACCCUCGUAGACCGAAAGCGGAAGCGUUUAGUAACGCGGUUGAUGUAGCCGAACGUCUUCACGAUCCAACCGAUCCAAGUACGGAACGCACGGUACCUCCGCGAUCAGCACACGUUCAGCUCAGUGAUGUCCCUCGUACUCUUGAUUCACACUCGACCUUUCGGUCUCAGUGUUCCGAGGCCAUAUCUGCAUAUGCUAGGCUCGUCAAGUUUAACCUAAGUAUUCUGCUUGUGCAAAACUGGCUUGCACCCGUUGUGUGUGAAUGUAGAGCUUAUCACACCCGAUCAUCACGUGGUGUCUCGGCACGACGAACUUUAGCAAGGGUGCAUACUCAGGGAGAACACUUACACCUUGAAAUUUAGUGAGAGAUCAUCUUAUGAUGCUACCGCCGUACUAAGCAAAAUAAGAUGCAUAAAUGAUAAACAUCACAUGCAAUCAAAAUAAGUCAUAUGAUAUGGCCAUCAUCAUCUUGCGCCUUUGAUCUCCAUCUCCAAAGCACCGUCAUGAUCACCAUCGUCACCAGCUUGACACCUUGAUCUCCAUGUAGCAUCGUUGUCGUCUCACCAACUAUUGCUUCUACGACUAUCGCUACCGCUUAGUAAUAAAGUAAAGCAGUUACAUGGCGAUUGCAUUUCAUACAAUAAAGCGACAACCAUAUGGCUCCUGCCAGUUGCCGAUAACUUCUACAAAACAUGAUCAUCUCAUACAAAAAUUUAUAUUAUCACGUCAGGACCAUAUCACAUCAAAACAUGCCCUACAAAAACAAGCUAGAUAUCCUCUACUUUGUUGUUGCAAGUUUUAUGUGGCUACUACGGGCUUCUAGUAAGAACCAUUCUUACCUACGCAUCAAAAACCACAACGAUUUUUCGUCAAGUGUGUUGUUUUAACCUUCAACAACGACCGGGCAUAGUCAAACUUGAUUCAACUAAAGCUGGAUAAACAGACACCCACUAGCCACCUGUGUGUGAAGCACGGUGGUAGAACCAGUCUCAUGAACUUGGUCAUGUAAUGUCGGUCUGGGCUGCUUCAUCCAACAAUAUCGCCAAAUCAAAGUAUGACAUGCUUGUAAGCAGUAUGAAUAUUAUCGCCCACAACUCUUUGUGUUCUACUCGUGCAUAUAGCAUAUACGCAUAGACCUAGCUCGGAUGCCACUGUUGGGGAACACAGUAUUUCAAAAAAUUUACCUAUGAUCACGCAAGAUCUAUCUAGGAGAUGCAUAGCAACGAGAGGGGAGAAUGUGUCUACGUACCAUCGUAGAUCAAAAGCGAAAGUGUUUAGUAACGCGGUUGAUGUAGUCGAACGUCUUCAUGAUCCAACCGAUCCAAGUACCGAAUGCACAGCACCUCCGCGAUCAACACACAUUCAGCUCGGUGACGUCCCUCAUACUCUUGAUCCAGCUGAGGCCGAGGGUGAUUUUCGUCAGCACGACGGCGUGUUGACGGUGAUGAUGAAGUUACCGACGCAGGGCCUCGCCUAAGCACUACAACGAUAUGACCGAGGUGUAUAACUGUGGAGGGGGGCACCACACAUGGCUAAAAGAUUAACUUGUGUGUCUAUGGGGUGCCCCCUUCCCACGUAUAUAAAGGGGGGAUGGAGGAGGAGGCUGGUCAAGGGUGGCGCGCCCAAGGGGGGGAGUCCUACUCCAAGUAGGAUUCGCCCCCCCCCCUCCUUUCCUACUUCCACAAGGAGAAGGGGGGAAGGAGUAGGAGAAGAGAAGGAAAGGGGGGCCCGGCCCCCUAGCCCUAGUCCAAUUCGGUUUGGGCUAGGGGGCGCACGCCACCUCUUGUCCUGCCUCCUCUCUUCCACCACUAGGCCCAUGAGGCCCAAUAACUUCCCGAAAGGGGGUUCCAGUAACCCCCAGUACUCCGAAACUUAUCCGAAACGACAUGAACCAUUAUGGUGUUCGAAUGUAACCUUCCAAUAUAUGGAUCUUUAUGUCUCGACCAUUUAGAGACUCCUCGUCAUGUCCGUGAUCUCAUCUGGGACUCCGAACAAACUUCGGUACAUCAAAUCACAUAAACUCAUAAUACAAAUCGUCAUCGAACGUUAAGUGUGCGGACCCUACAAGUUCGAGAACUAUGUAGACAUGACCGAGACACAUCUUCGGUCAAUAACCAAUAGCGGAACCUGGAUGCUCAUAUUGGUUCCUACAUAUUCUACGAAGAUCUUUAUCGGUCAAACCGCAUAACAACAUAUGUUGUUCCCUUUGCCAUCGGUAUGUUACUUGCCCAAGAUUCGAUCGUCGGUAUCAUCAUACCUAGUUCAAUCUCGUUGCCGGCAAGUCUCUUUACUCGUUCCGUAAUGCAUCAUCCCACAACUAACUCAUUAGUCACAUUGCUUGCAAGGCUUAUAGUGAUGUGUAUUACCGAGAGGGCCCAGAGAUACCUCUCCGACAAUCGGAUUGACAAAUCCUAAUCUCGAUCUAUGUAUUCACCCAGUUACGUUGUGACGUUUAAUGGCACACUAAGUGUUCCUCCGGUAUUCGGGAGUUGCAUAAUCUCAUAGUCAUAGGAACAUGUAUAAGUCAUGAAGAAAGCAAUAGCAAUAAACUAAACGAUCAUAGUGCUAAGCUAACGGAUGGGUCUUGUCCAUCACAUCAUUCUCUAAUGAUGUGAUCCCGUUCAUCAAAUGACAACACAUGUCUAUGGCUAGGAAACUUAACCAUCUUUGAUUAACGAGCUAGUCAAGUACAGGCACACUAGGGACACUCUAUUUGUCUAUCUAUUCGCACAUGUACUAAGUUUCCGGUUAAUACAAUUCUAGCAUGAAUAAUAAAUAUUUAUCAUGAUAUAUGGAAAUAUAAAUAACAACUUUAUUAUUGCCUCUAGGGCAUAUUUCCUUUAGUGUUUGCCUGGUAACCAUCUGAUAUCCCCGGUGUUCGUAGGGACGUAAUCGAGCACCAUCUUGAUGUCUGCCCACAUGCCAGACCUAUCAAGCAGAAAGUCCGGAAGCAAGCCUUGGAGAGGCAACAGUUCAUUGCCGAGGAAAUCAAGAAACUGGAGGCAGUUGGUUUAGUCAGAGGAGUACUCCAUCAAACAUGGUUAGCAAAUCCAGUGGUAGUUCGGAAGGCUAAUGGGAAAUGGAGGCUUUGCAUUAACUUCACAGACAUCAACAAGGCUUGGCCGAAGGACCCAUUUCCCUUGUCGCGUAUUGAUCAGAUUGUGGAUUCCACCUCAGGGUGUGAUUUUAUUUCCUUCCUGGACGCAUACUCCGGAUAUCACCAGAUCUUCAUGUCCAAAGAAGAUGAAGAGAAUACAUCAUUUAUCACCCCAUGUGAAACAUAGAAGCUUAUAUGGAUGAUAUUGUGGUCAAGACCAAGGAUAAGACCACUCUUAUCCAGGAUUUAGAGGAGACGUUUGCUAAUCUGCGCAAGAUCAACUUGAAGCUUAAUCUAGAGAAGUGUGUGUUUGGAGUCCCCUCCGGCUAGCUACUUGGUUUCUUCAUGUCCCAUCAGGGGAUCGAAGCUAACCCCGAUAAGAUCAACGCCAUCGAGCAAAUCCAAGCACCAAGGACAGUUGAGGAUGUGAGACGCUUGACGGGAUGCAUUGUCGCGCUAAGUAGAUUCACUUCCAAGUCUGCCGAGCGCGCCAUGCCAUUCUUCAAAAUUUUGAAGAAGGCAGUGCCUAUGAAGUGGACCCCAGAAGCAUAUGCAGCUCUGCAGGAGUUGAUGGCCUACCCGUCGUCUGUGCCUACCUUGGUUGCACCUAAACCCCAAGAGUCGUUGUUGAUGUACUUGGCGGCAACCAACCAAGUGGUCAGUGCGGCCUUGGUAGCACAACAAGAAGUAGAUGAGGCAGAAAGUGGACAAUAAUGGCAGAGUCGGAAAAGGAUCAGAGCAGUAGUGAGCACGACAAUGAGAACAACCCCAGGACGCGGCAAGGAAGAAGGUGGUGCAUCGCCAGUGUACUUCAUCAGCUCCUUGUUGCAGGGGGCUAGAUCGAGGUACUCUGGCAUGCAAAACUUGAUUUUUGGUCUCAUUAUGGCCUCAAGGAAACUGCACCACUACUUCCAAGCCCAUGAGAUCACGGUUGUUGCUCGUUUUCCGUUGCAAAGGAUACUUCAAAACCCUGAGGCUGCCGACAGAAUAGUGGAGUGGGCUUUGGAGUUAUCCAACUUUGGUUUGAAGUUUGAGAGCACAUCAACCAUUCAGAGCAGGGCAAUGGUAGAGUUUAUUGCAGAAUGGAUGCCAACCACUGAUGAGGAAGUGACAGAGACAGCUAUCCCUAGCAAGGAAUCACCCCAAGAAUGGAUUAUGUGUUUUGAUGGUGCUUUUUCCCUACAGGGUGCAGGGGCUAGCGUGCUUCUUGUUGCUCCCUCCGAGGAGAACUUGAAGUACUCGUCCAAAUGCACUUUGCCCGGGAAGAAGCCACCAACAAUACAGCUGAGUAUGAAGGGCUCCUUGCCGGGCUCAGAAUUGCAGCAGAAUUGGGAAUCAAGAAGUUGAUCAUACAAGGAGAUUUGCAGCUUGUGGUGAGACAAGUCAACAAGGAUUAUCGAAGCCCAUUGAUGGAAGAAUACAUCGAGGAAGUGAGGAGAUUGGAGGAGCACUUUGACGGGUUGUAAAUAGAGCACGUACCCCGUGUGGAAAACAGCAUAGCUGAUCACCUGUUAAAGUAUGUUGCGUAGAAGCUUCCUGUGGAACCAGGAACUUUUAUUCUCUGUCUCUAUCAACCCUCCAUAUCACUAACCACAAUGGCUUGGAAAAGGAGAAAGUUGGACUACGAUAAGCCUCUCCCGAUCGAGCCAUCCGCUCCCGGCAAAGACCCUGCCGGAAACAACUCCUCACAACCUGCCGGACCACCCCCUCCAGUCGGUCCAAUGGACCCCGUGAACGAGGCUGGUGCUCCCGCAGCCGAGGAGGUGCCGUUAGUCCUCGUUGCCGAUCCCCAGGCUCCAACUUGGGCAAGGCAUAUUGUGUGCUUCCUCCAAACCGGAGAGCUUCCCGACGACCAAGAUGAAGCUGAGAAAGUAGCUCGGAGGGCCCGUAUGUAUCAGUUUGUUGAUGACAAUCUAUAUAGAAGGAGGCCCAACGGUGUGAAAUUGAAGUGUGUCUGCCAGGAAGAUGGAAAGAAACUGUUGGCUGAGAUUCACAAAGGAAUGUGUGGUUCACACAUUGGAUCAAGGGCAUUAGUUGGGAAAGCAUUCCAGUAAGGAUUCUAUUGGCCCACGGCCCUCCAAGAUGCGGUCGAGCACGUCACGACAUGUGAAGCCUUCCAGUUCCAUUCCAAGAGAACACACCUACCUGCCCAAGCCCUUCAGACAAUCCCUUUAUCAUGGCCAUUUUGGGUCUGGGGGCUCGAUAUCCUCGGCCCUUUCCCCCGAGCAAUCGGGGGCUCUGAAUUCUUGUUCGUCGCUAUCAACAAGUUUACAAAGUGGUCGGAAGUGACUUUCGUGAGAAACGUGACUACUCAGUCAGCUAUCAAGUUCUUGAAAGAAUUGGUGUGUCAUUUUGGAGUUCCGGCAAGGAUCAUCACCGACAACAGCACCCAAUUCACGAGCCAUGUCUUCAUGCAAUAUGUUCGUACCCUCAGAUGCAAGAUCUCGUUCACCUCUGUGGCACACCCCCGGAGCAAUGGACAAGUUGAGAGGGCAAACACUCAAGUGUUGUGUGGACUCAAGACAAGAACUUUUGAUACGCUGCAGAAGCACGGCAGGCGGUGGAUCAAGGAGCUGUCAGUAAUUCUCUGGUCCCUCAGAACAACGCCUAAUCGAGCUACCGGGCAGACUCCCUUCUCCCUGGUCUACGGGUCAGAAGUAGUUAUCCCCACGGAACUCAUUUACGGGUCUCCUCGAGUGCUUCCCUACGAUGAAGUAGUGCAAGAUCAGCACCGGUGUGAUGACGCUGUGCUACUUGAGGAGAACCGUCUCCGGGCUGCUAUGCAUGUUGCACGCUAUCAGCAAGCCCUGAGUCGUUAUCACGGCCGCGGGGUUCAUGCCCGAUGUUUUGAGGAAGGUGACCUUGUCCUUAGGCACGUUCGGUCCGCCAAGGGUACAAACAAGUUGUCACCGAAGUGGAAGGCCCUUAUCGGGUGGUACAAGUCACCAAACCCAGCGCAAUCCGUUUGGAGACCAGAGAUGGCACUCAGUUGCAAAACUCAUGGAAUAUUGAGCAUCUCCGCAAGUACUACCCAUAAGGCGCGAGGCUGUCGGGCACUGCCCAACAGCCACCCUUUUGUACAGGCCUUGCCUUAGCUGCAUCUAACCCCUUGUACAAAGUCGGGGCGAUGACCCCGUGCAAGAGAAAAUAAUGAAGUGUUGUAGAGGGGGGCCCCCAACUAAGAUUGCAUGCAUGCAUGAGCACACCAAGAUCACUGCAUAAGCAUCUCAUGAGCAUCUGCAUAUGCAUAUAGAUAGGAUUGCAUCCUGCAUUCAUUCUCAUCUAUAUGAAGUUGCAGGUUCCUGCCAUGAACUUGGCUUCGACAAAGGGCAAGAAGAUUGCACGGCAUGAUGGUCCCUGGCAAGGCCAAACAGAUAAGUUUUAUCUCUUGUCCAUUAGUGUUCUGUAUAGCUAUGACUUUGCAUGAGAAAACCUCGCCCCUCCUUCGAAACUUAGGUGCUCCCAUCCAUGACUCGAACGUUGCUUCGGUCAGGAUGGUCACAGUUGCCUUUGGUAAAAAAAAGGGGGAGCUGGCAGGGGGCUGGCCCCUCUGUCUGUUCCCUGGUAGACGUAGCUCUCCGGUAGACAAAGAGGGUGUUGGCAAGAUAUCCUCUCGGGGAAAACUCGUUUAUUUACAUUAAAGAGGCAUUCCACCUCUGCAUGGACAUACACAUGCACGAGUUCCCAACAGAGCUUAUCUUUUUCAUUCAUAUGCUGAUACAAGUACAAGCAUUACAAAACACAAAGAUGGACUCGAGAGAUUACAUUAUUUGAAUUAAAAUUUGGCGAUUGCCUACAGAUUUAAGAUUGAAAAAAGAUAAGUGCCCUGUAAUCCCCUCUUUUUGUUUUCCCUCCUUCAGGCACUAUGGCGGAAGGAGGAAAAGACGAGAAAAGGAGCGCCCAAGCAGGAGCCCACCCUGAUCCCGUCAGGGCCUGUCGGGCAUGGCCUGACAAGACCGGGAGUGGCGAGGCUGCGAAGGAGGAGCGCGAGGAACGGGGCGGCGUUGAGAUUGCCAGCGAUCUCCAGCCCCGCCUCCCGGCCGAGCCUUAAAGAUAUCAAGAGAUUCACCACGCCAAGGACCAGGCUCACUCCCUGAGCAUCAGCACCAGCAUGGGGCGAUAAUAGCCCCAAGUAGGAGCCUGGGGGCUGGCCCCAGGCUCUUCUCUUCAACAUCGCCGGCAGAAGCAGAAAACAAAGGAAGAAGAGGAGCAACACGAAGGUGGAUGACUCCGGCCUCCUCCGCCCCUCCCUUUUAUAGGCCGAGCGAAGGAGGGCAACUGCUCCAUCAACGGGUGGCCAUCAUCCUCCUCCACCAAUUCAAGGCGGGUAGGCCCUCUCCAAGAUGCUCUCCCACACCACGCGCCUCCAUUACCUACCCCACGCGAUGCAUGCAGCAUACGUGGCCAAGGAUAAGGGUGCCCAGUGGGAAGAGUAAAUUGGCAGUUUCUACCCCGUGCGUUAAAGUCAUUCACGGGCCAUUACUAGAGCGGACCCACCACUAUUGGCUUUACGCCACGAGCAGGGAACCCGGAAACUAGCCCAAAAUCAAGGCUAAUGAAGUAGCAAUGGAAAUCUCAAGGGGCCAGCCUCUUCGGCAACCCUGCCUGUACACUUAUUAGGCCCUACCCCGACGACACUCAGCGGCAUGUUCGAGGCAGGCCCGAGGGCUUCUGUUGGUGCAACAGACCCUGGGUCUAUUGCCCAGACUACGCACAGCCACAAGAGUAGAAUUGAAGCAUCGGAUUGAGUCAGAGAUUGAAGGACCAAGAGAUUUGAAGAACCAACAUGCAGCUCAUAGGGAUCAAGAUCAAGCCAGAGGAUCAGUAUAUCGGCAAGAGAAGGGACUCCCUUGCCAGGCAGGCGAGCCCGGCAAGGGGCAAGGCCACAUCAGAAGCAAGCAACCAAGGCGCCCCGGCAGGGCCUACCGGGGCUCACGGAGGCAAAACCACCCCACCAACCACUCAAGCACGACCCAUGUCGUCAAUCAGUGCGGUGUCAAGCCGCAAGGCGAUUAAAUGGCAGCCAUUCACCACAUGGUGGCCGUUUCCUACAGAAGGGACAUACAAAUGACACUCGUCCUAUGACGUGUCAAUCAAACAAGCGCGGAGCUGGCGAGAUAGCCCGGCAAGCCUUGUCGGGCAACCAGUGAUGUGACACUAAGCAGUGCAUUUAAUGUACCCUGUUAGCCUGUAGAGUUAGGUAUGAUAGCACUAAUCAUAUCAGUGGACAAUGACCACUUUGCCAUUGUGGUGACCCCUUAAUCUAUAAAAGGAGGCCCAUGGCACCCGUAGGAGGGGUUAGACAAGUGGAGGAACCCACCCCCCAUACGCGCGUAGUCGCUGCUGCCAUAUGACGACCCUUGCCGGGCAAGUGUACUGUGUUGUAUUAUCCACAUUCCACCAUCAAUCCACUAAAGCAGGAGUAGGGUUUUACGCCUCACGGCGGCCCGAACCUGGGUAAAUUGCUUGUGUGCUCUCUGACGCACUGCCGCGCACUGGUUUGCUCUUUGUGCAACGCGACGUCCCCCUGUCGAACCAGCAAGGGGCCUCCUGGUCCCAUAGGUGGCUGCGGAUAUCCUGCGACACCACCAUUCAUAAUUCGUUCAUACAUGUCACUCUUGAUUCAUUGCACAUCCCGAUACACCGUCGGAGGCAUUCAUAUAGAGUCAUAUUUUGUUCUAAGUAUGGAGUUGUAGUUCUUGAGUUGUAAAGUAAAUAAAAGUGUGAUGACCUUCAUUAUUAGAGCAUUGUCCCAUGUGAGGAAAUAAAAAAAGAGGAAAGGCCAAAUAAAAAGAGAAGGCCCAAAAAAACAAAAAACAAAAAAUGAGACAAAAAGAGAGAAGGGGCAAUGCUACUAUCCUUUUACCACACUUGUGCUUCAAAGUAGCACCAUGAUCUUCAUGAUAGAAAGUCUCCGAUGUUGUCACUUUCAUAUACUAGUGGGAAUUUUUCAUUAUAGAACUUGGAUUGUAAAUUCCAAUGAUGGGCUUCCUCAAAUUUCCCUAGGUCUUCGUGAGCAAGCGAUUUGGAUGCACACCCACUUAGUUUCUUUUUGAGCUUUUAUACACUUAUAGCUCUAGUGCAUCCGUUGCAUGGCAAUCCCUACUCACUCACGUUGAUAUCUAUUGAUGGGCAUCUCCAUAGCCCGUUGAUACGCCUAGUUGAUGUGAGACUAUCUCCUUCUUUUUGUCUUCUCCACAACCACCUUCUAUUCCACCUAUAGUGCUAUUUCCAUGGCUCACGCUCAUGUAUUGCGUGAAAGUUGAAAAAGUUUGAGAACAUCAAAAGUAUGAAACAAUUUCUUGGCUUGUCAUCGGGGUUGUGCAUGAUUUGAGUAUUUUGUGUGAUGAAGAUGGAGCAUAGCCAGACUAUAUGAUUUUGUAGGGAUAAGCUUUCUUUGUCCAUGUUAUUUUGAGAAGACAUAAUUGCCUUGUUAGUAUGCUUGAAGUAUUAUUGUUUUUAUGUCAAUAUUAAACUUUUAUUUUGAAUCUUAUGGAUUUGAACAUUCAUGCCACAAUAAAGAAAAUUACAUAGAUACAUAUGUUAGGUAGCAUUCCACAUCAAAAAUUCUGUUUUUAUCAUUUACCUACUCAAGGACUUGUAGGAAUUAAGCUUAGGAUGCUUGAUACGUCUACAAUGUAUCUAUGAUUUUUCAUUGUUCCAUGCUAUUAUAUUAUCUAUCUUGGAUGUUUUAUAUGAAUUUAUAUGCUAUUUUAUAUGAUUUUUGGGACUAACCUAUUAACUUAGAGCCAAGUGCCAGUUUUUGUUUUUUCCUUAUUUUUGAGUUUUAUAUAAAAGGAAUAUCAAGCGGAGUCCAAAUGACCUGAAACUUUACGACAAUUGUUUUUGGACCAAAAGAAGCCCACAGAGUACCGGAGAUGCACCAGAGGAGUCACGAGGCCUCUACAUGGGUGGAGGGCGCCCCCACCCCCCUAGGGUGCGUCCUCCGACCUUGUGGGCCCCUCAUGUAUUCCCUGACUUGUUCUUGACUCCAACACCUCUUGUAUAUCCCCAAACCUCCAUAACAGAACAGAAAUCGGGAGUUCCGCUGCCGCAAGCGUCUGUAGCCACGAAAAACCAAUCGGGAGCCUGUUCUGGCACCCUGUCGGAGGGGGAAACCAUCACCAAUGGCCGUCUUCAUCAUCCCGGCGCUCUCCAUGAUGAGGAGGGAGUAGUUCACCCUCGGGGCUGAGGGUAUGUACCAGUAGCUAUGUGUUUGAUAUCUCUCUGUCAGUCUCAAAACCAGCGGAUCUCGGGUAGGGGGUCCCGAACUGUGCGUCUAAGGUGGAUGGUAACAGGAAGCAGGGGACACGAUGUUUUACCCAGGUUCGAGCCCUCUUGAUGGAGGUAAAACCCUACGUCCUACUUGAUUAAUAUUGAUGAUAUGGGUAGUACAAGAGUAGAUCUACCACGAGAUCAGAGAGGCUAAACCCUAGAAGCUAGCCUAUGGUAUGAUUGUAUAUUUUUUGUUAUCUAUCGACUAGCCUGGCCUCGGUUCAUAUAAUGCACCAAAGGCCUAGGAUAACAAGAGUCCUAGCCGAAUACGCUGGUGGGGAGGAGUCCUUGUCUUGAUCACCAAGUCUUGUGGAAUCUUCCUUGUAUGCGAUAGCUGUCCGGACUGGCCCAUGAGUAUACGGCCAUGGGGGUCCUCGGCCCAAUCCAACUGAUCGGGAGACGAUGUGAUGAGUACCCCCUAGUCUAGGACACCGUCAGUAGCCCCCUGAACCGGUCUUCAAGUUAGGGAUGCUCCUCGAUUCUUCCAAACUAUUCUUCAUCUUCGGUUGUCGGUCUUGAAAACUGGUUCAACAAAUCUUCUCAUCUUCGAUCUUGAGGAUCACCGAAAUGCAUUCGGCGAGUUUACACAUCGGGUAUCCGAGGAGCCCCUUUAAGUUUCCGGCCUUUAUCAAUGCCUUGUUAUUUUUAUGCCACACCUCGGGUUUGAAGUUGUUCCCGGGAGGCAGUGUCCUCUUGCGUCCGAGCUCUAACGUCGGACUGCAUUCGAGGUAUCUUUUGCAGCCGAGCACCAAUGUCAGACUGCUUCCGAGCUCUAACGCUGAAAUAUAUCUGAGCUCCAACGCCGGACUCUGUCCAAGCUCCAACGCCGGACUAUAUCCAAGAUGUCAUAGAUCAUCUUGGUCCAAAAGAGUUGAAGCAGUUUAGCCGAGCUUAAUGCUGGAAAUGCCCUCUAUGGAGCCAGCCACUAGCACCCGAGCUUUAUGCCGGACUGCUUCCGAGGUGGUGCACCACCCCGACUAUGGGCCAAUUUUUUGUCAAUAUUUUUGAUUGGUGCGAUUUAUUCUCUACCGAGAUAUAUAACUAGUAGCCCUCAAGGUGUAUAUCAGUCUAAAACCCGAGAUGCACCUGAAGGAUGAUGUAAGACCGCUGAUCCCAGUAGCCGCUGAGACUCGGGUUGAUUUGCAAAAUCGGCCUAAGGAUCAAGUCCUAGCUCGGCAGAAUACUUGGGACACAAAAAGCGGCAUGCUUAGUCCUCGAGACUCAGGUUGGGUGCGGCCGACCAACCUGAGGAUCAAAAUCUCGUCGGAAAUUGUAUUGCACUUAAAAUUUUCUGCAUUGAACAGGCAAUCCAGUAGCCCCCGAGACACUGGUCGGGUGGCAACACCAGAUCAGGGGAUCGAUGUGCCCCUUUAAUAUUUGUAAAUAAUAAGCCCGAAGCCCAGUAGCCCCCGAGCCUUAAUGCAGGCACGGGUGGCCGAAUUAAGGAUCGAUAUCCAUAGUAAAAUCACAAAUUAUGUGUAAUGACUCUAUGUAUCCAAGUACUUUACGUCAUUAAUGCCAGGAUCCGCAUUGUACAAAACUUUGUUGACCGACCAUCGGCUUCCACCUCCUCGGCCAGUAGCCGAGGAGUGUUUGUCCUACUUUAUAAAGCCUUUAUGAGGGCAAAGAUUUACGACAAACAAGGCAAUCUGGCCAUACGGUUUUAUAAACAAAGGUACGCAGAGAGAUAUGUUAUAUUACUGUUUAACAUAAGAAAUGUCUUCCAAAGAAAAUAGUCCCGCUAUCGAUUCCUUUCUUUGGGUUGUCAUGCUAAGCAUGAUCAUGAAACCUCAGCUCCAAUGUAAGAGCAAAAUAUCGAGGAUUUAGUUUGGGAGGCCAUGUAAUAGCCCCUGGUAGUGUUCGGCGACAGUCGAGGUCAAGCCGUAAACACUUCGGCCAUUGUUAUGAAUGGCCCGUCAUUUAACACCGUCAUCGGAUCGCUGACCAGUUUACCGGGAUUUGUGACAGUAAGUUUUCGGCUUUCUCCACUGAGGUGCUUAACCAUGUGAGUUGGAAGCACAAUCGCAGUGGUUCUCCCUUUGCACGCCUAGCCGAACAAAGCGGGACAUAGGAAGCAAGUGCAGGAGUCGGGCAACCCAACUAUUGACCGAAGACACAAUUCGAAAUCGAUGCAUAUAUAGCAAUAUCCGAGAAUGUUUUUGCCGAAUCUCUAAAGGUGUCCGGCAUUGCACUGUGAGACUUGUGCUGGAAACACACAAAUAGUUUAAAAGUGCCAAAAAGCUUGGAAAGCCAAAAACGUCAGUAAAAACAUGACGUCCGAACAAGAUCAAGUGUUCGGUGCCAAUCCGAAAAUUGGAAGAGAAAGAAAAGAUUGUGCUUCUGUCAUGUUUUGACAAUGACCAAGAAGAAAACAUAUUUACAGCUCAUAUAUGAAUUUUAAGAGCCCCCAAGUGACUUGGGUAAGAAUUUUAUGUAUAAUGAUUGUAUGUACCGAAGUACUUAUAUCAUAUUUGUGUUCACCCAAACUUUAAACGCAUCUUAACCGACCAUCGGCUUCUCCCUCUUCGGCCAAGGGCCGAAAAGUGUCAUGUACUCCACCUGUCGAGAGUAUCGACGGUGUUUUCAAUGAACACGCAAUCAGGCCAUAAGGCUAUAACAGACAAAGCACGCUCAGGGAACUUAUGCUAUAUUACUAACGAAGUGUAAGAAGCAUCUUCAAAGAAAAUAGUACCCCCACCGAUACCUUUCUUCGGUGCUCAUUAUUACUAUGAGACUUGUGCAAUAGAUUUUUUGUACUCAUCAGUUCCGUUGUGUGCCGACCAUGAUUGAAAACAAUAAGAGCGCUAGCUUUCGGCUUCACCCAGUCUGAGGUCAAAGCUCGGAGGACCUGGUCGUGACAAUCGCAGAGGUGCUCCCUUUACUCCCUAGCCGAACAAUCGGGAACGUACGGGUAAGCACAGGAGCCAGGCAACCCGGCUUGCAAAUCGCUUAAGUCAAUAUGGUGCAUAUUGUGGCGUAAUACACGAACAAGGAACGAAGCCGUACAAGUAUAAUCAUAUGCAAGAGGAAAAAGCUUCAUGAAGGAAGCCCCCAAGUAAAUGGGGUAUUUGAAUUUGCAUGCCACAAACAAAGUUUUGACAAGGAUAUUUUUUACAAGCAACUUUUUUCCAAAAAAGUAUAAUGCUUGGUCGAACCGAACACAAGUUAAAAAUUAAAACUUUGAGCAUGAAAGCGACUUAGCUGGUUAAUGUGUUCGGCAUUGAUGACGCGGUCCGAGCUUGAUGCGGGACAAGGUUCUAUCCCCCAAGCCGGUCCCGAGGUGGCGGAGCGGAAAGCUCGACACACCGAAGUGGUGACAUAGCACGGUCAAUGCAGACCGGCAGAGUGGCGCCGAAGUCCCGGAUCAUUUUCCUGUGCACAAAAAAUAGUGCAAACCGGAGAUAAUAGUAAUAAUAAUAAUUAAAAAAUCGUUGCAUAAUAAAUAAUUUAUGCAAAGUGAGUAAUAAAAGAAAUAUGGCCUGGCGCCGAAGUCAAUGUCGAUGCAGGGCGUCGGCGUGAUGCGGUAAGGGCGUGGCAAAGCCUGAAUUCACAGGUCGGUCCGAGUUCCGGAUGUGGCAUUCGCUGGACUAUGUACGGAAACUGACCGAACCACCACGCGACCAUCGUUAAUGCGGCCAUCAUUUGAUAGACCUGUGUACAGAUGAUGGACAAAACAGAGUAAUAAUUCCUUGGGCAAAAUGAACCCAAACAAGCAAAAAAUACUAGGAUUAAUAGCACCUGGUUUAUUUGUUGUAGCAAUCCGAAGAAAGGUGAUUCCCAAAAUUGGGACUCGAUCCGCACACCCCUUGCCUGAUGGGCGAUAAAGCGAUGGUAUGUCGAUGCUGGCAAAGGUUGGCUCGUCGAGGCAAAGCCCUCGGUCCAGCUAACAUGACGGAGCUGGUCAGCUAGUGACGCUGAAGUCUCCGGAGUAGGUUGAUGAAGAGAUGGCGAAGCCCCCGGUCCAGCCGAGAUGUCAGCUGAUGAGUCAAAGUAGGUCGGCGUGAUGGACACUAGCUUGAAGAAGCAAUAGUGUGGCCCUGCCGAUGCAGGUCGUGACGUGGUCGAUGUCGGCUUGAUGAAGUGACCGUGCGGCGAUGCCGGUAUGCCCGCUCCGUGUAAUCCCUGGGGCGGCGAUGUUGGUGAUGAUUUAUCCUUCACGAUGCCGGACUGUUGUUUGGCUUGCUGAGAUGAUGAUCCGAAGAAGUUGAGCUCGGCUCAACAAAGUGACGACGUGUCUAGCGCAGGUCGGCAGCCUUGGAGCAAUAUCACCGGACUGGUUUGACACUAGCAUGAUGAUGAAGGCGACCUCAGGGGAGGCUUAAAAAUUUGUGGGCACGUGUUUAAAAACAAUGCACAAUACCCUAGAAGAGAAUUCCUCUAAAAAGGUUGUCCAAUGUCACGUUCAUAAAGAAACAUGAAUUCGGGUCGGAUCCGUAUUCGCGCACAAAACGGAUCCGAAAAUUGAUCCACUCAUCGGAAGGUUCCCGGAGUUUGAACCGUCGGAUCGAGCUGAAAUUUGGAGGGGUGGUAGAUAUGGGAAUUCUGAAGUAGAUGAAGGGUUGAAUCUUCCAAAGGACCUCCGAGCUAGGCUCGGGAGACCACGCCCUAAACACAUCCAGAUUCCCGUCUAGAUUUGAAAGGGCUUGGGUAUAUUGUAGAUUGUCAGAGAUUUCUCCAUCGGAACUCGACGAAAUUUUGCAUGGCUGUUGUAGACUCAAUUCCGCACAAUUCCACCAAAGGGAUCAUCAAAGCGAUGCUCUAAGAGGUGGUGGCAGCAGAUACAAGUUUGUUGUUCGGAAAAACAGCACGGUCGCCCGAGGGCAAUGUUGACAUUGAGCCCCCGAGCUCCAUGGAUGAUUCCUCCAUGAUCUUGAUAGAGAUCGGAGUUGAUGUUGAUGAAGGCCCUCAUCCGAACAUGACGAUCGGAGAUGGAGCACGGUCCUCGGUCGAGCCAAGGUGACCAGUCGAGCCGGCGACGAAGAUGCCGGCAUCGCAGUUGACCUGCAGACGAGCCAUCGAUCCUUUUGCCGAUCACACAGCGGAACUCUCAAUGAAAGCACCAAUGUCGGUGUCAAAACCGGCGGAUCUCGGGUAGGGGGUCCCGAACUGUGCGUCUAAGGCGGAUGGUAACAGGAAGCAGGGGACACGAUGUUUUACCCAGGUUCGGGCCCUCUUGAUGGAGGUAAAACCCUAUGUCCUGCUUGAUUAAUAUUGGUGAUAUGGGUAGUACAAGAGUAGAUCUACCAUGAGAUCAGAGAGGCUAAACCCUAGAAGCUAGCCUAUGGUAUGAUUGUAUAUUUUUUGUUAUCUAUCGACUAGCCUGGCCUCGGUUUAUAUAAUGCACCAAAGGCCUAGGAUAACAAGAGUCCUAGCCAAAUACGCCGGUGGGGAGGAGUCCUUGUCUUGAUCACCAAGUCUUGUGGAAUCUUCCUUGUAUGCGGCAGCUGUUCGGACUGGCCCAUGAGUAUACGGCCAUGGGGGUCCUCGGCCCAAUCCAACUGAUCGGGAGACGAUGUGAUGAGUACCCCCUAGUCCAGGACACCUUCACUCUCUCUCUCUCUCUCUCUCUCUCUCUCUCGUGUUCUUGAUUUGGCAUGAUCUUGAUAUACCACGAGCUUUGCUACUAUAGUUGGAUCUUAUGAUGUUUCUCCCCCUCUAACUUCUUGUAGUGGAUUAAGUUUUCCCUUUGAAGUUAUCUUAUAGAUUGAGUCUUUAAGGAUUUGAGAAUACUUGAUGUAUGUCUUUGAUACGUCCAUUUUGCAUUUGUUUUCUUACUGUUAUUUAUGAUGUUUUUAUCCAUAAUAAUGAUUUUUGGAGUAAUUCUAAUGCCUUUUCUAUCAUAAUAUGCAAGGUCUACACAAAGAGGGAGAAUUCUGGCAGCUGGAAAUCUGGACCUGGAAAAGCUACAUCAGGCCACCUAUUCUGAACAACUCCAAACAAGCUAAAACUUCACG